Molecule: ribosomal RNA, 468 nt
Filed under: uncultured bacterium
Lineage: Bacteria
Description: partial 16S ribosomal RNA
Rfam family: Bacterial small subunit ribosomal RNA
Source: RNAcentral
GAUGAACGCUGGCGGCGUGCUUAACACAUGCAAGUCGAACGGUGAAGGCGGAGCUUGCUCUGCUGGAUCAGUGGCGAACGGGUGAGUAACACGUGAGCAAUCUGCCCCUGACUCUGGGAUAAGCGCUGGAAACGGCGUCUAAUACUGGAUACGAGCUGCGAAGGCAUCUUCAGCAGCUGGAAAGAACUUCGGUCAGGGAUGAGCUCGCGGCCUAUCAGCUUGUUGGUGAGGUAACGGCUCACCAAGGCGUCGACGGGUAGCCGGCCUGAGAGGGGGACCGGCCACACUGGGACUGAGACACGGCCCAGACUCCUACGGGAGGCAGCAGUGGGGAAUAUUGCACAAUGGGCGAAAGCCUGAUGCAGCAACGCCGCGUGAGGGACGACGGCCUUCGGGUUGUAAACCUCUUUUAGCAGGGAAGAAGCGAAAGUGACGGUACCUGCAGAAAAAGCGCCGGCUAACUACGUG